CGAGCCGUUCCUGGACGGCCUGCCGUCCGCGUUGCGGAUGCCCGAGGGAUCUGGGAAGGAGGGAGCGGGAGUUCCCGGGGCCAGCAGCCAGGUUUCGGCGGCGUCUGGCGCAGGGAGGCGCUGGAGACGCUCGGAAGCGUUCGCAAGGAUCAGGGAUGCGUUCGCAAGGCGUUCGGGGGCGCCGAAGCCUUAGCCACGCCUCCCACUCCGUCUCCACUCCCCCAGAGGCGAGCCGAGGGGUCUCCUGGGAGGUGUAGUUCUCACCCUUCGACUUCCCUUUCCCCGAGGCCGCUGCAGGCCAAGCCGGGACUGCGACUCCCAGAGGUCUCCUUGGCCCGGAGGUCACUCCCUCGGCCGCCUGGCGCUCAGAACCUCGUGUCCAACGGUGCCCAACGGAGUCUAACGGCGCGCGGUCGGUUCCGGGGCUCUGCGGCCGGCCGAGGCUGGGCUGCGGUCUCGCCAGCACCCCUGGGACCGGGAGACUGAGCGAUGGAGGCGACGGCGAGCGGGCGCCCGGCCGGCGGGGCAGUCGUGUGCGCUGGCUCCAGCCCGGGGCCGCUGACCCCCUCGGGUCACAGGCGGCCUGGACGUGCAGCCAGAGCCAACAGCGACUGGUGUUGAGGAAGGAGGCAGUGAUUCAGGCCGAGAGCGAAGGCGGGUUUCUCCAGGAGGGCGCACGAGCCGGGUUGACCGCGGGAGACCACGCCUCGGCUCUGGUUGGCUCAGAUACCACCCGUGGGAAGACUUUCCUGGUCCCUCCUGGUUUUAUGCCGUUUCCAGGGUUUCUCCUUCCUUCCCUGAUGGUAUAUUUCAGACAAAGUUGAUUCAUUCAUUCUACAAUAUUUAUUGGAUGCCUACUCUUUGUCAAGCGUGGUUCUACUUGCUGUUGAUAAAGGUUUCUUCUCAAGCUUACACUGCAAUGAGGGAAACAGAAAAUAAAUAUAUGAUGUGGCAGAUGGUGUUUACAGGCCAAGAAGAAAAGCAAGUCAGGUCUAGGGGACAGAGCGACGUUGUGGAAGCAGGCUGUAGGUUUAGGCUCUGGGCUCCUCAUUUACUCGAGCAGUAUGGUGGCUGCCAUAUUCGCCACUCUGAAAGAGACCUGCAGUGGCACCAAGGAAGCGUGCCUGGCGUUUGCCACGGGUCUGAUGAGAGCUCCUCAUAAACCCUGAGACUCUCAAAGGUGCCUGCUGCCAGCUGAUUUCUCAUCCAGAAGCCCCUGCAAGUCCUUCGGCCCCUGAGCCCUUGGCUUUUUGUCCUCAGGCUUUGCCUUUAGAGCCAGUCUGUACCCAGGCCCUGCAUCCCUGGCCUUCUGCAGAGGCUUGACUGUCCCUCUGUGCUCUAGCCCGCACUCAUGCUGGCAUCGCACCUGCAUCGGAUGCUUGCUCUUCCGCAGCGUCCUGGGGAGCAGCUUCCUGGCAGUCAGAGCUGGAAGGAUUCUGAGCCUCCGUGCAGUCCGGCCAUGUUCCUGGCCCUCCCUGAGCUCUGGGGGCAGAGCCAGACGGGGAGGGCUAGUCCCGGCAUCCCCCACAAGGCUGUGCAGAGCCGGGACUAGCAGGAGCGGAUCACUCCAGACUCUGUGCCCUGUAGAAGAAAAGUCACAAAAGUAGAUAACGAGAAAGUUAUCUGUUGCUGUGUAACAAAUUAUCCCACAACGUAGCAGCUUAAAACAAGUAUUUAUUGUCUCACAGUUUCUGUGGGUCCGGAAUCCGGGCACGGCUUAGCUGGUAGCACCUGCCUCAAGGUGUCUUAGAAGGCUGCAGGCAGGGCGUCAGCUGCGACUAUGGCCUCGGCUGGAGGCUCCCCCGAGGAGAGGUCCAUGUGCAAGCUCGCUCGCGUCGUUGUUGGCAGGAUUCAGUUCCUCAUGGGCUAUUAGACUGAAAGCCUUGUUCUUUUUUGCAUUUUGGCUGAAAGCCUUACUCAGUUGUUUGCCACACGGGCCUCCCCUCAGCCACUCACAACAUGGCAGGUGCCUUCCAUCUGAUGGAGCAAGCAAGACAGGACAGACAAGAUUGAAGGCAGUCUUUGGGACCUCGUUUCAGAAGUGGCGUCUUUUCACUUUUUGCUGUAUUCUGUUCUUUGGGUUCAGCCCACACUCCAGGGGAAGGGAUUCCAGAGGGAGUAUAUAUCAGGAGAAAGGGGAUCAUUGAGGGCCGUGUACAGGCUGCCUGCCACGACACCCUAGCCACCACUCUGUCUGUGCUCUUCCUGCUGUCCCUCCCCCAGCCCUCCUCCUCCUCCUCACCAGAGAUGGUAGUACUGUGUUCAUUGUAUUGUUAUUCUAGUCUUUGACUGUUAUUUUUUAAACUGUAACCUGAAUUGUGAGGUUGUGGGAUGUACCUGAGAAUGAAAUGCAAUGACAGAGGUGCGCUCAUUAGGAAGCGUUCUGUCUACAUCCUUCCCAACAUCUGAUUACUUUUAAUUCCCAUUUCCUGAGUGACAUAGAGCAUCUUUUCUUAACCUUACAAGUUAUUUAUCUUUACCUCGGAGCCAGGUUCGCCCCCCAAUCUAUUGAUACUUCCAGAGGUCCCUGAGGGUGCAGUCUUGGGAGUGGAGGAACAUUAAGGAAAGUCCCAGAAGGAAGUGUAGGCUCAGCUCUGCCCUAGUGCCCUUGCACGUACCCAUGGAAGCCACACGGACAAGGCUUGGACCACAGCUGACUCUAAGCCUUAAUCCUGAGUCAAAGUGUCGUGGUCCCCUGGAACACGAGAGCUGGGGAGAAGCUGCUUCACCAGCACGUCCCACUGGCCUGCCCGUCUCUCCCGGAGGCCGGACUGACAGGGUUGCGCGUGGCCUCCAGGUUCUGACCAGGAUGAGGCUGUAGGAGAGCUGAACUCCAGCCGGGCAGCGGCUCCUCAGAACGAGGCGCCUGUCAUUCCUGUUGCAGUUACCUGGUCACUUCCGGUGUCACCCUGCACAAGGGCCAUGGGGAGCUGGCGUCUUUGGCUACUUUUCCUUUUGUAGUCUGUGGAAGUAAUAAACUGAAUCUGAAAA
This is a long non-coding RNA of Equus caballus (horse), 2991 nucleotides long. RefSeq lists it as uncharacterized. The record is from RefSeq and is a predicted model, not a curated record. Lineage: Eukaryota; Metazoa; Chordata; Mammalia; Perissodactyla; Equidae.